CAGCGGAAGAGGGAGUAGAUAUUCCACCUUUGCGCCAAAGGCGCCGUCUUAGGCACAAACCCCUUCCCUCCCCGAUUUCUUCUCUCCUAGAUAGAGAGAGAGAACAGACAGACAGAGGGAGAGAAAGAGAGAGAGAAAAUCAGUAGAGAAGAGAAAUAGAGUAGGAGAGAAGCAGAGUCAGAGUAGGAUGGAUUCGGAUCAAGGGAAGCUGUUCGUUGGCGGGAUAUCAUGGGAUACAUCUGAAGAGAAGCUUAAGGAAUAUUUUGGUAACUAUGGCGAGGUUGUGCAGACUGUGAUCAUGCGUGACAAGGUCACUGGAAGGCCGAGAGGUUUUGGGUUUGUCGUGUUUGCAGAUCCUUCCAUUCUCGAUAGGGUUCUUCAGGAUAAGCACACCAUCGACGGAAGAACGGUGGAAGCUAAAAGGGCUUUAUCAAGAGAGGAACAGCAGACUUCUAGAUCGGGAAACCCUAAUGCAGGCAGAAACCUUGGAGGUGCAGGAAAUAUUAAGACCAAGAAGAUUUUUGUAGGAGGAUUGCCUCCCACUUUGACAGAAGAAGGAUUCCGUCAGUAUUUUGAAACCUAUGGUCAUGUAACUGAUGUAGUAGUUAUGUAUGACCAGACUACCCAGCGUCCUCGUGGAUUUGGAUUCAUCUCCUUUGAUACUGAAGAAGCAGUUGAUAGAGUCCUACACAAGACUUUCCAUGAAUUGAAUGGUAAACUUGUGGAGGUCAAACGUGCUCUUCCAAAAGAAGCAAACCCUGGAAGUGGUGGCCGUCAAAUGGGAGGUGGGAGUUAUCAGGGAUAUGGUGGUUCAGGUGGCAAUGCAAAUACAUAUGAUAGUCGGGUGGAUGCUGCCAGGUACAUGCCACCUCAAACUGCUGGAGGUGGUUUUCCAGCUUAUGGUUCUUCUGGCUAUGGUGCACCUGGUUAUGGUUAUGGUGCAGCUAGUAAUGGUGUUGGCUAUGGUGGCUAUGGCGUUGGUGGCUAUGGUAGUGCCAAUGCUGGAUACAGUGGGCCUGCUGGGGCCUAUGCGAACCCUAAUGCUCCAAAUGCUGGGUAUGUAAGUGGUCCUGGUGCCCCUAGAAGCCCAUGGAACAGUCAAGCUCCUACUGGAUAUGGUUCUGCAGGUUAUGGUGCAAAUGCAGGUUAUGGGUCUGCUGCUCAUUGGAAUUCUCCCAGUGGUGCUGCUGGUGCUGGUAAUGCUGUUUCUGCUCCAACAGGUCAGUCCCCGAGUGGGGCUGCCAAUUAUGGGAAUCAUGGUUAUGGGUAUGGUGGUUAUGGUGGGGGUGAUGGAUCUUAUGGUAAUCCAAGCAGCUAUGGUGCUGUUGGAGGGCGUGCUGGCAGUGCCCCAAAUAGCAAUUCUGGUGCUGGAGAGCAACAGGGAGCAGGUGGUGGCUACAUGGGAAGUGGCUAUGGUGAUGCUAAUGGGUAUCCAAAUGCAGUCUGGAGAUCUGAUGCUUCACAAGCUGGGAGUUAUGGGACUGCCCAUGCAAAUGGACCUCCAUCUGGACAGGUGGGAUAUGGUGGUGGGUAUGGUGGUGGUGCUCAAUCCAGGCAGGCACAACAGCAGUAAUCCAGAUAUUCCAACUUAUUCAUUCUUGUUUCACGGGAACCCUCCCAUGCAUGCAAUGCAGUCGUCACUUUCGCAUUUCACACAAGGAGGGAUGGCUCUUACAGGAUGACGGCAGAUUUUGGGACUGGAGGAGAGAGAUGCCCGUGUACUUCGUAAGUUGGAAUCAGAAUGCUACCCUCGUGGGUUCUCCCAAAGGUUUUUAACAGGGUGUGUGGCGUGGAAAGGCAGGUAACGUGGUCUUGCUCGAUUGACCCGAUGCAUUCAAGUGAAGUGAGGCAGGGGAGGGCCAUUGUGUUGAGGCCAACAUCACUGUUGAACUUUCCGGAGAUGAAAACCCCUAAUCUUUGUUGCAGGUUGUGAUCCCACCAGAGUUCUCAGUUUGAACAACCUGGGUAUGUUGAUUUAACAGGCAGCCUUACAUUUCCUUGCCCAUUGUUUGAGUUGAGAGGCCUUGAUUUUCUUCUUUGAAAUGUUUUCCUUCUAAAAACACCUCAAAAUCUGAACUGAUGGCUUUCAGUAAAUUUAUAAGGUGUUGUUUAGGGGGUGAUGGUUCCAUAAGUUCAACUCUAGAUAGAUAGCUACAGCUUGUUGGUUUCAAACGGUAAAUGAAAGACCGCCUUGUUUCAAAGUUCUUUCUUUGGAGGAGUAAUUCAAACUUUAAUUUACAGUUCAAAUCUAAA
RNA transcript from Nelumbo nucifera (sacred lotus), 2253 nucleotides. It is a transcript of the gene named heterogeneous nuclear ribonucleoprotein 1, with no coding region annotated. NCBI's taxonomy places the organism in Eukaryota, Viridiplantae, Streptophyta, Magnoliopsida, Proteales, Nelumbonaceae. The record is from RefSeq and is a predicted model, not a curated record.